UUUUUUAGAUAUUUUGAAAUAAGUAAGCUAUACAUUUUUUUCACUUUCUUAAGUGGGCUAGUACUCAUUAGCAGUUGUAUGUCAAACCAUGAAACAUUAAGCUGCGUCCAGUCUUAAAAAACGACUUCAAAAAUCUUCUGCCGAUACUGAUCAUGCAUAUGGCAAAGAAAAACAUGAGAUCGUUGGUCUUGGAAUUUAGAAAAUGCAUCGCACU
Molecule: long non-coding RNA, 214 nt
Organism: Alosa sapidissima (American shad)
Lineage: Eukaryota; Metazoa; Chordata; Actinopteri; Clupeiformes; Clupeidae
Exons: 3
Source: RefSeq, a predicted model, not a curated record